This 726-nucleotide long non-coding RNA is filed under the name Mus musculus (house mouse). Its description in RNAcentral is "POU domain, class 3, transcription factor 3 adjacent noncoding transcript 1". The record is from RNAcentral. Lineage: Eukaryota; Metazoa; Chordata; Mammalia; Rodentia; Muridae.
AAGGAUAACUCGGCUCUGGAGAGUAGAGAAUAUGCCUUCUCUUCUGCCCCUCCAGGAACCUUACUUUUUUUUUUUUAAACAAAAAACAAAAACAAAAAACAAAAACCAAAAACCAAAAACCAACCACCACCUUUUAUUUAAAAGUCUAACCUUGGGAAUUUGCUGGGGAGAAGGAACUCAGUGAAUAUUGCCCUGGGUCCUGGUAAUUCCACCUACUGAAGACAACUGCCCCUUCUGCUCAUAUUUCCUGAGUCAACAUGGCCGUUCCUAACUUUGAAGAGACUUUAGACAUUCUUUGUUACAAUGAACCUAGAAGAAAGAAGAGAAAUAUUACAGCGACUGUGCCCGGGACUGUAAGGCGGAUAAGACCCAGCAGGUUCCUGCCCUGAUUUCCCUGGAUGAUGGACUAUGAGCAGUAAGGUAAAGGAAAGUGUUUCCUUCUCAAGCUGCGUUUGGUCAUGGUGUUUUAUCACAGCAAUAGAAGUCCUAAUGAAGACACUCUCCAGGGCAAGGUCUCUGAUGACAGCUUGCUUCACUUAGUCAUGUACUGCAAAGAAUGCCCUCCCCUUCAUUCUUCUCCCAUGAUCACACUGCUGGGGACAGAGAUAAAUGCUGUGUACUUAUCUGAUUAAACUAUCUGUUAUUUUAAAUCUAUUUCAUAGAGGCUUCUUCCUCUGGUAGACAUCUUGUGACACAACAUAUUAAACAUUAUAUCCAUAUCACAGA